UACGUAUGGUGCAAGCGUUAUCCGGAUUUACUGGGCGUAAAGGGAGCGCAGGCGGCGCGCCAAGUCUGAUGUGAAACCCCGGGGCUCAACCCCGGGCAUGCAUUGGAAACUGGCGGGCUGGAGUGCCGGAGAGGUAAGCGGAAUUCCUAGUGUAGCGGUGAAAUGCGUAGAUAUUAGGAGGAACACCAGUGGCGAAGGCGGCUUACUGGACGGCAACUGACGCUGAGGCUCGAAAGUGUGGGGAGCAAACAGG
RNAcentral lists this ribosomal RNA (253 nucleotides) under uncultured bacterium. RNAcentral describes it as "partial 16S ribosomal RNA". It matches the Rfam family "Bacterial small subunit ribosomal RNA", at positions 524 to 776 of the family's 1533-position model. The record is from RNAcentral.